AGAUUGAACGCUGGCGGCAUGCCUUACACAUGCAAGUCGAACGGUAGAGUAGCAAUACUCGAGAGUGGCGAACGGGUGAGUAAUAUAUCGGAACGUGCCCAGUCGUGGGGGAUAACGUAGAGAAAUUUACGCUAAUACCGCAUACGAUCUAAGGAUGAAAGCGGGGGACUCGCAAGAGCCUCGCGCGAUUGGAGCGGCUGAUAUCAGAUUAGGUUGUUGGUGAGGUAAAAAGCUCACCAAGCCGACGAUCUGUAGCUGGUUUGAGAGAACGACCAGCCACACUGGGACUGAGACACGGCCCAGACUCCUACGGGAGGCAGCAGUGGGGAAUUUUUGGACAAUGGGCGAAAGCCUGAUCCAGCAAUGCCGCGUGCAGGAAGAAGGCCUUGGUUGUAAACUGCUUUUGUAACGGAACGAAAGGUCUGCCCUAAUACGGCGGCCAUGACGGUACCGUAAGAAUAAGCACCGACUAACUACGU
Molecule: ribosomal RNA, 479 nt
Filed under: uncultured soil bacterium
Lineage: Bacteria
Description: bacterial SSU rRNA
Rfam family: Bacterial small subunit ribosomal RNA
Source: RNAcentral